AUUGAACGCUGGCGGCAGGCCUAACACAUGCAAGUCGAACGGUAGCAGGAAGUGCUUGCACUUUGCUGACGAGUGGCGGACGGGUGAGUAAUGCUUAGGGAUCUGCCUUCGGGAGGGGGAUAACAGUUGGAAACGACUGCUAAUACCGCAUAACACCUACGGGUCAAAGGGGGCUUCGGCUCUCGCCUGAAGAUGAACCUAAGUGAGAUUAGCUAGUUGGUGAGGUAAAGGCUCACCAAGGCGACGAUCUCUAGCUGGUCUGAGAGGAUGACCAGCCACACUGGGACUGAGACACGGCCCAGACUCCUACGGGAGGCAGCAGUGGGGAAUAUUGGACAAUGGGGGCAACCCUGAUCCAGCCAUGCCGCGUGUGUGAAGAAGGCCUUCGGGUUGUAAAGCACUUUCAGACGUGAGGAAAGGUUAGUAGUUAAUACCUGCUAGCUGUGACGUUAGCGUCAGAAGAAGCACCGGCUAACUCCGUGCCAGCCGCCGCGGUAACAC
Molecule: ribosomal RNA, 501 nt
Filed under: uncultured bacterium
Lineage: Bacteria
Description: bacterial SSU rRNA
Rfam family: Bacterial small subunit ribosomal RNA
Source: RNAcentral